Molecule: ribosomal RNA, 1770 nt
Filed under: Bathypalaemonetes chani
Lineage: Eukaryota; Metazoa; Arthropoda; Malacostraca; Decapoda; Bathypalaemonellidae
Description: SSU rRNA
Rfam family: Eukaryotic small subunit ribosomal RNA
Source: RNAcentral
UGUCUAAGUACAUUCCUUUGCUCAAGGUUGAAACCGCGAAUGGCUCAUUAAAUCAGUUAUGUUUCAUUUGAUCUGUGACUCAGUUGGAUAACCGUGGUAAUUCUAGAGCUAAUACAUGACAAUUAUGCUCCUUCCAUAAUUUAUGGGUUGGAAGGAGUGCCUUUAUUAGAUGCAUAACCAAACGGACCUCGGUCCGCCAUGCUGAUUCUGGAUAAUACGGUUGAGAGUGAGGUCCACGGACCUGCUCCAGAUCUUUCGAGUUUCUGCCUUAUCAUGCUGUGAUUGUAGGUCAAGUGCCUACAAUGGCUGUUACGGGUAACGGAGAAUCAGGGUUCGAUUCCGGAGAGGGAGCCUGAGAAACGGCUACCACAUCCAAGGAAGGCAGCAGGCACGGAAAUUAUCCAAUCCCGGCUUGGGGAGGUAGUGACGAAAAAUAACAAUGCGGGAUUCUUCGGAAUCCGCGUAAUUGGAAUGAUCUGAGGUCAAAUAUUUUACAUAACUCAUUGGAGGGCAAGUCUGGUGCCAGCAGCCGCGGUAAUUCCAGCUCCAAUAGCAUAUAUUAGAAUUGUUGCNGUUAAAAAGCUCGUAGUUCGAGCUGAGUUCUGGACUGGCCCGGGGAGGUUACCGCCAGGUGCCUCUCCGUCAGCUCAGAAUAGCUUCCCAGUGCUGGGAAGCCAAGACCACUUGGCCGGGGUGCUCUUUACCGAGUGUCCCGCGCUAGUGGCGGUUUUACCUUGACUAAAGUAGAGUGCUUAAGGCAGGCUACUAUAACUUAUGUUUUAUGCCUAUAUGGAACUGCAUGGAAUGAUGAAACAUGAUCUCGACUCUCCUUGUUGGUUAUUAGAGUCCGAGUUAAUGAUAAACAGGGACUGCCGGGGCCAUCCGUACUACGGGGCGAGAGGUGAAAUUCUAUGACCCUCGUAGGACGAACUAAAGCGAAAGCAUUUGGCAAGAAUGUCUUCGUUGAUCAAGAACGAAAGUUAGAGGAUCGAAGGCGAUCAGAUACCGCCCUAGUUCUAACCAUAAACGAUGCCAACUAGCUAUCCGCCGUCGUUAUACCCAUGACGUGGCGGGACGCCCCCGGGAAACCUAAAGUUUUUGGGUUCCGGGGGUAGUAUGGUUGCAAAGCUGAAACUUAAAGGAAUUGACGGAAGGGCACCACCAGGAGUGGAGCCUGCGGCUUAAUUUGACUCAACACGGGAAACCUCACCAGGCCCAGACACUAUAAGGAUUGACAGAUUAAAAGCUCUUUCUAGAUUUUGUGGGUGGUGGUGCAUGGCCGUUCUUAGUUGGUGGAGUGAUUUGUCUGGUUAAUUCCGGUAACGAACGAGACUCUGGCCUACUAAAAAUGUAGUCGACGGGUGUUAGUUAUGAGGAACAACCCCGUUCGUCUUCUUAGAGGGAUAAGCAGCGAAUAUAGCUGCAGUAGAAUGAGCAAUAACAGGUCUGUAAUGCCCUUAGAUGUCCUGGGCCGCACGCGGGCUACACUGAAUGGUUCAACAGGUGCCCCUGCUCCGAGAGGAGUGGGAAAUCCUUUGAAACUCAUUCGUGAUAGGGAUUGGGUGCUGGGUAGAGCACCCAUGAACGAGGAAUUCCCAGUAAGCGCAAGUCAUUAGCUUGCGCUGAUUAAGUCCCUGCCCUUUGUACACACCGCCCGUCGCUACUACCGAUUGAAUGUUUUAGUGAGGACUUCGGACUGGCUGUCUUGGAUUGGGUUCCGCUCGCCUUCGGGUGUCGGACCUGCCAACAUCUGACGGAAAGUUGUCCAAA